CACGAAAGCUAUAACGCAAGCAAUUGGAAUUAUGAUUUGCACCAAUAUAAUAGUAAAUCUGUUUUUAUUGCUAACUGAUAUGUAUUAUAUCCUGCACACCCCUGCUUUCGAUGUAAGCACAAAACAUUUAGUUGCAUUGUGCUUGCGCUGCAAUUGUGCAUUUAGUGGAGUAUUUCACGCUAACACUGUAUAUCGACAAGACCAAUGUAUUCCUUUAACAUAGCCCAUCCAUUUACGUACUUGGUACCGCUUGCUCUGUGGUAAAUCCCCCUGUUUAACAUUUCCCGCACAUUGUCACUAAUGAUGUAUUAUCACGUAAUGCUAUUUACUGAGGCUUAAAUCUUUUGCGAAAAAUUUCCGCACAUAUAGAUCCAAUAUUUGCCAUGUUAAAAAAGGAUCGAAAUGUUUGAGUUAUGGUAGAGUAAAUAAUACGAUGCCACAUAUCGGCGCGCAGUCCACAUGUUUACUUUUACUAGAGCGCUUAUUUCAGCUUUCCUUUUAGUAAUAGAGAAGUCACUGGUCCUGUUAAGUCAAAAGUGAUGUCCCUUUUUGACUAGUCUUUAUCAUGUCGAAGACGUGCUAUAGGCUAUGUUUCAUAUGGCCAGACGGGACCCUUAAACUGUGGUUGUUAUAGGAUUUCCUGAUUUCGCUGUGAUAGACCCCUAAAAAGUCAUCCCAACUAUCUGCAGGUAUAUAUAUAUAUGGGGAUAGCCUUUGAUAAUUACUAUGUGACGGCCGCAGACAUCCGCUUAUCGCCGGUAGUCAUACCCUAACGAUUAUGUAAUAUGGAUGAAAUCGAUGUAUGCGUAAUGACUGAUGACAAAGGAACCAAGAAAGUUUCACAACCCGGGACCACACCUGAUCAACCCGGAAUUCCUGGACGACCGGAUAUCUGUCAAUACCCACACUCAGGUAUAGAAAUAAUUCAGUGCAAGCAAAAUGCUGAAGACGGAUCGCGAAUCACUGCUGCAUUUUCUUCAACUAUGUCGAUUGCAAGAAAUUACUGAUAAUUUUUAAGAAUCGUCAUAAUUUAGACAAAAUAGUGAUAUCUCUCCAAGUAAACAUUGUACCGUUUUAAUUUCUCCGUGAUAAAGAGAGACGAGCUUCAUACAGCUGAUCGCCUUCGCAAGGAAAUGAACUAAUAACGAAACUUUAUUAAACAGACAGCCUGGUUUCAUACGCAGAGUACUGACCUGACACAGCUCUCUGGCAGAAACCGUUUGCAGGAUUUUCAAAGCUUUCCAACAGCUCAGAAAGUCAGUUAAAUUGUUUUCGGUUCGUUUUAUUAUUGCAAAUUUGCUGUUUCUCCAUUCAUUAUUAGACAGUUUGGCUUUAAAGAAUCGUAGUAUACGUGGAACAACAGCAGACGGUGCUCGAGCAGACACCUUAGGGAACAAGAACAAUAAUGUGGAAAAAAAAAAUGCCUGCAUAUAACUACAUAUAUGAACUGGACAUGCUACUGUAACUCGUUAAAAAUAAUCCAGCGUACAACGGUUGUCAAUGGGAACAAAUCAAUGCAUUAUUAUUUUAUUGUUAUAAAAUUAUUGCAUGGCAGAUGGCACGAAACGACCUUCGAGGGAAGUGAUGUAGGUAUAUGAAUCUCUUCUUUUUAUAGAAUCUUACUGCUGAGAUUUUUGACGCAGUGCCCCACACGAGGGAUCACAAUACUUGCUAACUAGAGCCAAUAUUUAGACAUUCACAAUUGAAAUUCAUCAGUGUCUAGUCAUGCCGGCUUCUUCCUCUACCCUAUGGGGAGAUUCUGUUCUCGUAUAUCGUUUCACCCGUUCAAUGUAAAUGAUUAUAGCUAAAAUGCAAUUAUACGAUACGCUAAUACAUAUAUUGAUAUAUAUACACACAAUACGUACGAGUGGAUCUACAUAGAUAGAGUGCGACGAUUCCCACAAAUCUUUUGCGGUUAGAUGAUUUGAGUCAGUAGUUUGUUGGACCAGAUCGGCUAGUAGAAUUUACUUAGUAAAUGGUCUAAAAUUGAGUUUAUCGCUUGAGAUUAAAUGAUGAUCUCGCUGAAUAGAUGGCGCGCUGGAUUCGAACGGACGGGUAAAAAUAAUCAAACGUAAAACUAGUAAAUGGUUGGACUUGUUGAACCAUACAUGAUAAGACGACUAGACAAAGGGCACGCGGAAAGGGGAGGCAAGCUACGUACCAGUUGAAUUUAUACUGUGUGUGUGCUACAACUUAUCCGAACCCUUUCGUUUGUUACAGAUUGCUAAUAUUACCAUUCCUAUGAAAUUAUGUCACGCUAAGGAAACUGAGAUUAAUGUGUAGCUGAUCUUAGAAGAGAAGCUCGUAUGUUGUGAUGUACUCUCGAAAAUUCAAAUUGUCAAUGGCGGAAAAUACAGUUAAAACGAAGCAGUGUUAAAGACGUAUACUAGACAGGUAAGACAUCGUAAUGUUUUAUCUAGCUCUCGCUCACAGGUAAACGUAUAUAUAUAUAUAUAUAUGCAUACCAGUAUAGUUCCAUAACCUUUUCUAUAUAUUGGCAAGUGCGAAUGACCUUGAUGUACCUAAUACGAUAAUAUUUGUUAUAAAAUAUAUUCAGUAUGAGCAGACUUAUGGGUAAUAGAUGCCUGGGAAAAUGGCAGGACGCUCCUAGCCAGCGGCAGUAAGCGAAUUAGCUUGUUAUAAACUUAACAGCUUAAUGGUGCUAGACAGAAAUGUAUGUCACGUGCACAAGACAGGCAACCAUACGUAUGGCACCAAUAAAGGCUUACGUGCAGAACUCCAUUAUAUUCAUGGUGUUCAGGCAAAUCGUAUCCGGCAACUUCCGAAACGAGUUGUGCGCUUGUCAUUACAAACGUACAAUAGAGAUCAAGAGGCGUGUUGUUAACUACAAACACAGAAUCUGGUGAUAGCCUAAUUAUAAUUACAGACGAAGCAAAUACACACAUGGUAGCUGUACUACACAUUAAAUUGUGUCCCGCUAGCAUUCAAGCGAUUCCGGCGCUGUGUUUCUACAGUUCAAUAUUUAGUUUUCAUCUAAUAACCAGUACUGAAUAACUUUCCUCCUAUUAGCUCCAUCAUAACGAUAUGGAUGGUUUUCCCGUAUGCUUGACUUUCCCGUAUGCUUUCUGCCAUACGGUCGAAGGCCUCACUCAAUGUACAUUUAGAAAUAACCCGUUUUCUAUCGUACCUCACCUACACCUGACUGAGCUUUAACUAACGUAGUAAAACGACACAAGUACGUACCACUAGAUAUAUUAGCAGCUAGUACAUAAGCUCUUAUUUAGGCCUAAUGGUACCACUAUUUAUUAAUGAAAAGGCAUACAUACAUAUGAAUGUGCUUAGCAUCAAGCUCGUUCUAUUUAUCUUUAGUGGCUCAUAGGUGACCACAAUCAAAUCCGUUUAUUUCAACAAUUUAUUUCAUUAUUUCGAGGAACUCCCGCAGAGUGAGUUCAAUUAUUUCUUUUAUCCUGAUCCCAUUACCCUAACUUACUACCGCCUAGGAUCGCUCCAAAAAGUUCACUAGCUGUUCACAACACCGAUAACAACAAGUAUGUGCGAUCAAAGAAUCUAGAUAUUUGUUAUAUUUCCCUCGGUAUUUGGAUACCGUGUCUUAUCGAUCAGUUGUAAAGCUCGCCGCCGCUUCGACCGACGCUUUUCGUCAAUCACGUACCGCAAGCGAGCGAUUUUAGAAGACCAACAUAAAGGGUUUUUCGGGUACAGUUUCCGCAUUAAUAGUUCUCCUUCGAUUGUACGGUAGUAUCAACUUCACUGACAACUCUACGGCCAACUUCCGGUGAUGUACGUUACCGUUUACAAUUGCCCGAUGGUGGCUGAUUUACACGUAUUCAUGUUAUUAUCUGUACUGAAAAAGUAGAAAACUAAAAGGAAGAAGAAGAACGUCUAUAGUGCGAUACUUCUCGUUCAUGCAUGGUCUGCCCCGAACUGACAAAUAAUAGAACAAAUAUAUAUAUAUAUAUAUAUAUAUAUAUAUAUAUAUAUAAUACGAGAAAGCAGCCGGCAAGUACGCUAGACAAGUUGACUUAACCUUUAAAAUAGCUGUUAAUUUUAUGUCGUUAGAUUAUGACUAUUCUCUGCAAACACUUUCCUUUCUCUAGUUACUACUGUAGGAAGAUACAUAAAUAGACAGGAAGGAUACAGAGACUGUAUAGCGAAAUAGUAGUGUUUAUUUGUGAGACUGUGUGUGCGUGAAGAAAAAGAGAGAUCGACUCAACGGGAUUGAGAAUAUUUAAGAACAAACACACAAAUGUAAUGCUGAGGUAUAAUGAAUAACAUUCGUUGGAUAAUAAUUUUCUUCAUUGGGAAUUUAAUCUUUAGGUUUUUCUUCAUAGGAUAUUCUUAUCCAUAAGCUACAACCUUUCCAGUACAUUGUAUCUGGUAUAGAGAAGUGUUGCUAACUAAGAAGAAUACAUAAACUUACAUGUGAAAAAAAUUUGUGUUAACUAUUUUCGUGUUUAAUCUUCAAUACUAUUAACGCACCCCCCAUACAUAUUGCGGAAGAGCUUCUCCUUUUAAUAUUCGUGUUGUUUUUAAUAAGUGAAAUUAUGAAAUAUUCGCCAAUCUUCACCUUUUUCAACUCUGUAAUCGAGCUUGAUCUGAGCUCUUCUACGAUUCCUCUAGAGCAAAGCGUGAGCUUGAACCACCGUAAAAUAAA
This is a non-coding RNA of Varroa destructor (honeybee mite), 4633 nucleotides long. The record is from RefSeq and is a predicted model, not a curated record. Lineage: Eukaryota; Metazoa; Arthropoda; Arachnida; Mesostigmata; Varroidae.